Molecule: long non-coding RNA, 384 nt
Organism: Oryzias melastigma (Indian medaka)
Lineage: Eukaryota; Metazoa; Chordata; Actinopteri; Beloniformes; Adrianichthyidae
Exons: 2
Source: RefSeq, a predicted model, not a curated record
UCCGGUACCCGGAAGCAAAACUGAUACCACGCAUGCGCGGGAGACGUCACUUCCGCUAAAACGGUUUGUUUACGAUGGUUAGUGUUUCUCUUUUUCUGUGACAGGCCAUGGCCUCAGAAAGACGCAUCUGCUGAAUUUGGACAGCCAUAGCAUAGGAAGAAGUUUUACUGCACGACACCACAAGGGAAACCAAAUGGUCCAGAACACCGGCAUUUUAAGAAAGAUAUCCCCUGCCUGAUGUAGAGAUGGAAGAAGAAGAAAACGAAACGCUGAAAGAACUCCAAAGCUGUGCCUUUUUGAGUGAUAAUAUUAGAUUGGUACUGUAUAUAUUACUCUAAAAUGUGUCUUCUUGUCCAAUAAAAUGCAAGAGAGGCAGAAAAAUAA